This 124-nucleotide ribosomal RNA is filed under the name Chinchilla lanigera (long-tailed chinchilla). The record is from RNAcentral. Lineage: Eukaryota; Metazoa; Chordata; Mammalia; Rodentia; Chinchillidae.
GUCUACAGCCGUACCACCCUGAAUGCACCCAAUCUCAUCUGAUCUCAGAAGCUAAGAAGGGUCGGGCCUGGUUAGUACUUGGAUGGGAGAAGUAAUGAACAUAAGAAAUACGCAGCUUUAAAAA